Long non-coding RNA from Choloepus didactylus (southern two-toed sloth), 401 nucleotides. RefSeq lists it as uncharacterized. The record is from RefSeq and is a predicted model, not a curated record. The transcript is spliced from 3 exons. NCBI's taxonomy places the organism in Eukaryota, Metazoa, Chordata, Mammalia, Pilosa, Megalonychidae.
ACCACAAGUCACUUACUUAGAAAUUUCCCUCUGCCCUAACAAAAAGAAAACUUAUUUCUCUGUUUAAUGAGAGAUCAUGUGAGCCUAUUUGAAACCAUGUUUACAAAUGCCCUGAUCCAUGUCUCAUGGGCUGUAGAGCUCCCCUCAGCUGUCCAGAAAUUUUUCCUAGAGUACUGGAACUGGGAAAUCCAGGUAGAAAUGUCCAUCAGAGACAAAAACUAAAUGCAUCUGAGUUAAAAUAGCUUUGCAAUUGAGACUUUCCCUGUGCUGGCCCAUAAAGUCAUGGGGAAUGAGCAGCCAGAGUCACAGGCAAGCAGGAAAUUUCAGUGAGAUUACUCCAGUUAAGGUGUAUCCACACAGAAUGGGGAUGGGUCUUAAUACUUUUACUGGAAGCCUUUAUA